Telopea speciosissima is the source of this 161-nucleotide long non-coding RNA. RefSeq lists it as uncharacterized. The transcript has 3 exons. The record is from RefSeq and is a predicted model, not a curated record. NCBI's taxonomy places the organism in Eukaryota, Viridiplantae, Streptophyta, Magnoliopsida, Proteales, Proteaceae.
UGGCUGUUCUUUCAGUGGGAUGGCUUCUGUUUCUAUUGGUUUCAUCCAGGGCUAUGACGCAACCAAUCAGUCCUUUAGAUGCUUAGAAGGCAACCAAAAGAAGGCUUUUGCACUGGCGAUGAGAGGUUGCAGUGUUGCAGUUAAUGUUCGAAUUGGUUAGU